AGAGUUUGAUCAUGGCUCAGAUUGAACGCUGGCGGCAGGCCUAACACAUGCAAGUCGAACGGUAACAGGAAACAGCUUGCUGUUUCGCUGACGAGUGGCGGACGGGUGAGUAAUGUCUGGGAAACUGCCUGAUGGAGGGGGAUAACUACUGGAAACGGUAGCUAAUACCGCAUAACGUCGCAAGACCAAAGAGGGGGACCUUCGGGCCUCUUGCCAUCAGAUGUGCCCAGAUGGGAUUAGCUAGUAGGUGGGGUAACGGCUCACCUAGGCGACGAUCCCUAGCUGGUCUGAGAGGAUGACCAGCCACACUGGAACUGAGACACGGUCCAGACUCCUACGGGAGGCAGCAGUGGGGAAUAUUGCACAAUGGGCGCAAGCCUGAUGCAGCCAUGCCGCGUGUAUGAAGAAGGCCUUCGGGUUGUAAAGUACUUUCAGCGGGGAGGAAGGGAGUAAAGUUUAUACCUUUGCUCAUUGACGUUACCCGCAGAAGAAGCACCGGCUAACUCCGUGCCAGCAGCCGCGGUAAUACGGAGGGUGCAAGCGUUAAUCGGAAUUACUGGGCGUAAAGCGCACGCAGGCGGUUUGUUAAGUCAGAUGUGAAAUCCCCGGGCUCAACCUGGGAACUGCAUCUGAUACUGGCAAGCUUGAGUCUCGUAGAGGGGGGUAGAAUUCCAGGUGUAGCGGUGAAAUGCGUAGAGAUCUGGAGGAAUACCGGUGGCGAAGGCGGCCCCCUGGACGAAGACUGACGCUCAGGUGCGAAAGCGUGGGGAGCAAACAGGAUUAGAUACCCUGGUAGUCCACGCCGUAAACGAUGUCGACUUGGAGGUUGUGCCCUUGAGGCGUGGCUUCCGGAGCUAACGCGUUAAGUCGACCGCCUGGGGAGUACGGCCGCAAGGUUAAAACUCAAAUGAAUUGACGGGGGCCCGCACAAGCGGUGGAGCAUGUGGUUUAAUUCGAUGCAACGCGAAGAACCUUACCUGGUCUUGACAUCCACGGAAGUUUUCAGAGAUGAGAAUGUGCCUUCGGGAACCGUGAGACAGGUGCUGCAUGGCUGUCGUCAGCUCUGUUGUGAAAUGUUGGGUUAAGUCCCGCAACGAGCGCAACCCUUAUCCUUUGUUGCCAGCGGUCCGGCCGGGAACUCAAAGGAGACUGCCAGUGAUAAACUGGAGGAAGGUGGGGAUGACGUCAAGUCAUCAUGGCCCUUACGACCAGGGCUACACACGUGCUACAAUGGCGCAUACAAAGAGAAGCGACCUCGCGAGAGCAAGCGGACCUCAUAAAGUGCGUCGUAGUCCGGAUUGGAGUCUGCAACUCGACUCCAUGAAGUCGGAAUCGCUAGUAAUCGUGGAUCAGAAUGCCACGGUGAAUACGUUCCCGGGCCUUGUACACACCGCCCGUCACACCAUGGGAGUGGGUUGCAAAAGAAGUAGGUAGCUUAACCUUCGGGAGGGCGCUUACCACUUUGUGAUUCAUGACUGGGGUGAAGUCGUAACAAGGUAACCGUAGGGGAACCUGCGGUUG
Molecule: ribosomal RNA, 1521 nt
Filed under: metagenome
Description: bacterial SSU rRNA
Rfam family: Bacterial small subunit ribosomal RNA
Source: RNAcentral